Anthonomus grandis grandis is the source of this 656-nucleotide long non-coding RNA. RefSeq lists it as uncharacterized. The transcript is spliced from 2 exons. The record is from RefSeq and is a predicted model, not a curated record. Lineage: Eukaryota; Metazoa; Arthropoda; Insecta; Coleoptera; Curculionidae.
GGAGGCGAAACAGACGUCCGCCUCCCCCGACGGCCGUCCCGACGGUUCCGUUAAGAUGUGAAUCGUCAUCGGGAUUACCGGUCUGAAGAACUAAAAUAAACGUACGAUAUAACUGACGAGAUUUAUAAGCGAGAAUAGAACAAACAACGUGUUUACAAUUAAAUAAAGUAUAUUCAAUUAUAUAAAUAGUGACCUUGAAGUUUAUUGGACUGUGAAAUACCGGCUAGCUGAUUCGCUCUGACCUGUUUUGAUUUUUCCUCUAUUUAUCUUGGAUGUAAUCUGGGGAUUUUUGGGUGAGAAGGAAAAUUACUUGGAAGUAGUAAAGAUGGUUGGAGAUUUAACUAGCUAAGGCAACAGAUACCCAUUCGAAUAGCGAAGUUUGGACCUCAUAAAAAUCGGCCGCCGCAGCAGCAGUGAUACCAAAGCUGUAAUAUAUUGUUCGAAAUGCGGCGCCCUGUUGCCAAUAUGUAAAACUAGAACCGUAAUUAAAAUAAAAAGAUUUCGUCUUUUAAAUUAUGAAAAUAUGUAUGUAUAUUAAUUUGUAUAAAGUAUGUACAAUAUUGACAGUUAAUUACAAUAUGACAUAGUAUGCACUUACAGUAUGCAUAAUAUUUAUAUUACAAAAUAAUAAUUAAUAAAAUAAAAAUAAAUACAUA